GUUUUUUUUUUUUUUUUUCACUUUUCUGCAGUUUCAUGACAGGACUAAAAGUGAAUGUUUGGCUUGCAUAAAUAUUUCAAAUGCUAGCAGCUAUUCAUGUUGCUUUAACCUUCUCCUUGUCUUCUGCCAGUCUCCAAGUGCAGCUCUUAAUGGUGAAAUUUUUUGGCAUGCUGCUGUGGUAUUCUUCCCUUUAUAAAUGGAUAUCCCAUAAGAUUUAUAAUUAUUUGAAAUCAAGAAGAGUUUCAGAUUUAAUGUGAAAAGGGGGAGCACAUUCUAAAUACUAGGAAUACCAUGUACAAUUCAG
Molecule: unclassified non-coding RNA, 304 nt
Filed under: Hevea brasiliensis (rubber tree)
Lineage: Eukaryota; Viridiplantae; Streptophyta; Magnoliopsida; Malpighiales; Euphorbiaceae
Source: RNAcentral